RNAcentral lists this long non-coding RNA (605 nucleotides) under Setaria italica (foxtail millet). RNAcentral's name for it is "long non-coding RNA (SITA_LNC000151)". The record is from RNAcentral. Lineage: Eukaryota; Viridiplantae; Streptophyta; Magnoliopsida; Poales; Poaceae.
UUCUUAUCAUGUUUGUCCUCCAGUAGACAGGUAAGAUUGAAUUAUAUUAUUCUUGUUGCCAAAUGUAUGUCAAGCAGGCAAGCACAAACUGAAGUACCGAUGAGCUGACAAAUAAUUAGUUGCAUGUAAAACUUUUCUGUUCUGAAACUCAUUUUGUUGCCUUUCCAGAUUGCUUGCUUAGGAACUAAUUCCAAGGAUUACUUUGAUCGGCAUGGAGAUUUAAAGAGCAUCAGGAGACUGAAGUUAACCUUAUUUCUCUGCAAUAUAUCAGAUUGGAUAUUGGCACAUAUAUGAAUCAGGUUGGGUUGUCUGAACCUAGAAUCCCCUGCUUCUCAAACUCAAGGUAUACAUUAUUGCAUAUAGGAACAACAAUUGUCAAGUGUGGCAGUCAUAUUUUGAUAAUCUGUAUUUUUUGGAUGAUUGCAUUAUGAUGAAGUCUUCCACAUAGUAGUGAUGAAAUAUCUUCAGAUGUGAGAAUUUCAUGUUUAAAAGCUUCAAGGUUUAGGAUUUUCUCUUUAAAAUAAAUCUUGGGCCUCAAAUUCAUAAUAUUGGUAAAGACGUAAAGUUCAGGGUAUGCAGACUCAAAAUUCUUGCAUUAGAAAUUU